UACCCGCAGCACAAGUGGUGGUCGUUAUUAUUGGGCCUAAAGCGUCCGUAGCUGGCGUGUUAGAUGCCUGGGUAAAUCGAUGCGCUUAACGUAUCGAAUUCCGGGUAGACCGGCACGCUCGAGACCGGGAGAGGUGUAGGGUACUCGGGGGGUAGGGGUAAAAUCCUGUAAUCCUCCGGGGACGACCAGUGGCGAAGGCGCUACACUAGAACGGCUCUGACAGUGAGGGACGAAGCCCUGGGGAGCAAACCGG
Molecule: ribosomal RNA, 253 nt
Filed under: uncultured bacterium
Lineage: Bacteria
Description: partial 16S ribosomal RNA
Rfam family: Archaeal small subunit ribosomal RNA
Source: RNAcentral